This 343-nucleotide RNase P RNA is filed under the name Clostridiales bacterium. RNAcentral's name for it is "RNase P RNA component class A". It matches the Rfam family "Bacterial RNase P class A". Rfam says of the family: Ribonuclease P (RNase P) is a ubiquitous endoribonuclease, found in archaea, bacteria and eukarya as well as chloroplasts and mitochondria. Its best characterised activity is the generation of mature 5'-ends of tRNAs by cleaving the 5'-leader elements of precursor-tRNAs. Lineage: Bacteria; Bacillati; Bacillota; Clostridia; Eubacteriales. The record is from RNAcentral.
UGAGUUUGUUAUACGGUCGCGGGGUUCGAAAGAACCAUGAGGAAAGUCCGAGCAGCAUAGGACAGGGUGCCUGAUAACGUCAGGUAAAGGCGACUUUAAGGACAGUGCAACAGAAAUAAACCGCCGCGCAAUGCGGUAAGGAUGGAAAGGCGAGGUAAGAGCUCACCGAUACCUUGGUAACAAGGUAUGCCAUGUAAACCCCACCCGCUGCAAGAUUGGGUAUCCGUCAAUAGGGCUGUCCGUCCGACGGAAUACCGUGAACAUCGCUCGAGCUUGUCGGCGACGACAAGCCUAGAUAAAUGACCGUACACGACAGAACUCGGCUUACAGACAAACUCAAAUC